CGCUAAUCUCUUAAAACCAUUCUCAGUUCGGAUUGCAGGCUGCAACUCGCCUGCAUGAAGUCGGAAUCGCUAGUAAUCGCGGAUCAGCACGCCGCGGUGAAUACGUUCCCGGGCCUUGUACACACCGCCCGUCACACCACGGAAGUUGGGAGUACCCAAAGUAGGUUGCCUAACCGCAAGGAGGGCGCUUCCUAAGGUAAGACCGAUGACUGGGGUGAAGUCGUAACAAGGUAUC
This 235-nucleotide ribosomal RNA is filed under the name uncultured bacterium. RNAcentral's name for it is "partial 16S ribosomal RNA". It matches the Rfam family "Bacterial small subunit ribosomal RNA", at positions 1266 to 1500 of the family's 1533-position model. The record is from RNAcentral.